This 433-nucleotide ribosomal RNA is filed under the name uncultured bacterium. RNAcentral describes it as "partial 16S ribosomal RNA". It matches the Rfam family "Bacterial small subunit ribosomal RNA", at positions 29 to 507 of the family's 1533-position model. The record is from RNAcentral.
AACGAACGCUGGCGGCAUGCCUAACACAUGCAAGUCGAACGAGACCUCCGGGUCUAGUGGCGCACGGGUGCGUAACGCGUGGGAACCUGCCCUUAGGCUCGGAAUAACUCCCCGAAAGGGGUGCUAAUACCGGAUAAUGUCUUCGGACCAAAGAUUUAUCGCCUUUGGAUGGGCCCGCGUUGGAUUAGCUAGUUGGUAGGGUAAAAGCCUACCAAGGCGACGAUCCAUAGCUGGUCUGAGAGGAUGAUCAGCCACACUGGGACUGAGACACGGCCGAGACUCCUACGGGAGGCAGCAGUGGGGAAUAUUGGACAAUGGGCGAGAGCCUGAUCCAGCAAUGCCGCGUGAGUGAUGAAGGCCUUAGGGUUGUAAAGCUCUUUUACCCGGGAUGAUAAUGACAGUACCGGGAGAAUAAGCUCCGGCUAACUCCGUG